UUUAUUGGAGAGUUUGAUCCUGGCUCAGGAUGAACGCUGGCGGCGUGCCUAAUACAUGCAAGUCGAGCGAAUGGAUUAAGAGCUUGCUCUUAUGAAGUUAGCGGCGGACGGGUGAGUAACACGUGGGUAACCUGCCCAUAAGACUGGGAUAACUCCGGGAAACCGGGGCUAAUACCGGAUAACAUUUUGAACCGCAUGGUUCGAAAUUGAAAGGCGGCUUCGGCUGUCACUUAUGGAUGGACCCGCGUCGCAUUAGCUAGUUGGUGAGGUAACGGCUCACCAAGGCAACGAUGCGUAGCCGACCUGAGAGGGUGAUCGGCCACACU
RNAcentral lists this ribosomal RNA (326 nucleotides) under Klebsiella pneumoniae. Its description in RNAcentral is "bacterial SSU rRNA". It matches the Rfam family "Bacterial small subunit ribosomal RNA", at positions 1 to 314 of the family's 1533-position model. Lineage: Bacteria; Pseudomonadati; Pseudomonadota; Gammaproteobacteria; Enterobacterales; Enterobacteriaceae. RNAcentral also lists the same sequence under 1 other name. The record is from RNAcentral.